Molecule: long non-coding RNA, 633 nt
Filed under: Homo sapiens (human)
Lineage: Eukaryota; Metazoa; Chordata; Mammalia; Primates; Hominidae
Description: HSALNT0236955
Source: RNAcentral
GUCAGCUCUUCAUCCUUUACAUCAUUAACCCCAGGUCUCAAAAAAAAAAGUGGACCUCAACCAAGGAAGAGGAUAGUUGGACAAAAUUGGGUGCAGGUGGGGGAGGAACAUUUCAUUUGGGACCAACAGCAUGUGCAAAGACCCUGUGGUAGAAGGGGGUGAAUGUGGCAGAAGUGUAGUGAGUGAGGGGAGACUGGAGAUGGGGGCGGGGAGCAGGGCCAGAGCACACAGGGUCUCGUGGGCCAUGGGAAAGAUUUGGGUCAUUAUCUGCAGAGCAAUGAGAUGCUCGUGAAUGAUUUUAAGUGGUCAAGUGUGCAAGGGGUAAAUGAUAAGACUGGGGCUUUUGCAGCUUUACCCUGGCUGUUGUGUGGAGAAUGAAGUGGAGAGAAGAGCAAGGAGGUACUGCCGUUAUCUAAGGGAGGAAUGAUGGCUUGCACAAGGGCGGUGGCAGCACAGAUGGAGGUAAGUGGAUGGAUGUGAACUAUAUUGAGGAGGAAAAGCUGGGAUUGGAGUUAGAUUGGAUGUGGAGACAGCAAGACAGAAAAAGGCCUGAGGGGCUGGGUGCAGUGGCUCACACCUGUAAUCCCAGCACUUUGGGAAGCUGAGGUAGGUGGAUCACUUGAGGUCUUUGAG